GNAGGNCACAAGCGNUGUCCGGAAUCACUGGGUGUAAAGGGAGCGCAGGCGGGAAGACAAGUUGGAAGUGAAAUCNANGGGCUCAACCCAUAAACUGCUUUCAAAACUGUUUUUUCNCGAGUAGUGCAGAGGUAGGCGGAAUUCCCGGUGUAGCGGUGGAAUGCGUAGAUAUCGGGAGGAACACCAGUGGCGAAGGCGGCCUACUGGGCACCAACUGACGCUGAGGCUCGAAAGUGUGGGUAGCAAACAGGAUUAGAUACCCUGGUAGUCCACGCCGUAAACGAUGAAUGCUAGGUGUUGGGGAGCAAAGCUCUUUCGGUGCCGCCGCAAACGCAUUAAGCAUUCCACCUGGGGAGU
Molecule: ribosomal RNA, 357 nt
Filed under: uncultured bacterium
Lineage: Bacteria
Description: bacterial SSU rRNA
Rfam family: Bacterial small subunit ribosomal RNA
Source: RNAcentral